UGCUUUCCACACGUACUUUCAAGAAAAAGGUUUUCGACCGAUGAGCACGGCAGCCUAUUUUACAGUUUCCACGAUGUCCCACACUCAGUGGCUCGACCUACAAUCAAGUAUUGUUUAAAUUGAAUUCUGAUCAUAAAAAAAUUACUAAAAUGGCCAUGACCGGGAAGUCCAUCACACGUUGUGUUUUG
This is a long non-coding RNA of Limulus polyphemus (Atlantic horseshoe crab), 188 nucleotides long. RefSeq lists it as uncharacterized. The transcript has 3 exons. NCBI's taxonomy places the organism in Eukaryota, Metazoa, Arthropoda, Merostomata, Xiphosura, Limulidae. The record is from RefSeq and is a predicted model, not a curated record.